This 175-nucleotide ribosomal RNA is filed under the name Osteocephalus castaneicola. RNAcentral describes it as "partial 16S ribosomal RNA". Lineage: Eukaryota; Metazoa; Chordata; Amphibia; Anura; Hylidae. The record is from RNAcentral.
ACGUGAUCUGAGUUCAGACCGGAGUAAUCCAGGUCAGUUUCUAUCUAUAGAGGAGUUUUUUCUAGUACGAAAGGACCGAGAAAACAUGGCCCAUACUUCAUGCAAGCCAUAAUUAAUAACUUAUGAUAAAAUCUUAAUAAAUAAUUAAACCAACACUAAGCUCAAAAAAAUAGCA